RNAcentral lists this long non-coding RNA (572 nucleotides) under Helianthus annuus (common sunflower). The record is from RNAcentral. Lineage: Eukaryota; Viridiplantae; Streptophyta; Magnoliopsida; Asterales; Asteraceae.
AGACUUGUAACGCCCCAAAAACCCAAAUGUUAAAAAUUUCAAGAAUGACUUAUUUUUAUAUGGUGUGACAUUAAGGUAACUGAGUUAGCGAACUUGGUUUUAAAUACAAGUUAGUAUGUGAAACGAAAUAAAUGGCAAGUUUUAAAAGUUUGAGGGGUUAAAAGGAAAAUGUGUUAAAUAAAACACUUUACAAAAAAAAAUGUCAGUAACUUGGGGGGUUCUAUGCGUGCGAUCGAGAGCAGGGCCAAAGGGAAGAGCCAAAAACCCUAACAACCAAAAAUCAUCAAAUUGAUAAGGAGAUCAAGGGAAAAAUCGAAUGCAUGAGUCUGGAUACUCUUUAAUCUAAGUGUAUUGAUCAUAAGGAUAGGAACCCCAAAUUGACAUGGACUCAAAUAUGGAAGGCUAACGGAUCAAGAGGAAAUGAGGAAGUUAUGCACAAACUUGGACGCACGAGGUAAACCCUCAAUUCAGGCGACUUGGAGAAUCGGAGCGAGCGCGUGUUCAUGUUAUGUCAUACCAAACGCUUCCGCUAGCUUGUUCAAAUGUUUUUAGUCCAAAAUUUGUUGUAUUGG